AGCUAUCCGAGAGCUGCAGUUUAGAUCUGAAAGCAUGGCGUCGGGUCAGUUUCCCUAUCAGCGCGCCGCCGCCGCCGCCCUCUGCCUGUUGUUGUUCGCCGUUCGAUCAGACUCCCGGCCCUCCCAUCUCGAGGCAGAUCCCGGCGUCGCGUCGCCGGCGAUGCUCGCCUUCUUCGGCGCUCGUCCGGCGGUGGACGCUCGUCCGGCGGUGGAGAUCCCCGAGGCGACCAACGCUACCGAUCCGGCCUGGGCGGUGGCGGGGAGAGCAGCGUCGGUGAGAGCGGCGCCGGAAUGGACCAGAGGCGAGGACCACAGGAGGACGUCGGUGCAAGUGGCCGGCGUGAUCUGUGGCGUUAUUGGAGUGGCGCUGCUGGCUGCUGCUGCGUUGGGGUUUGUGCUUCAUGCUCGCCGGUCGGAGGGGACCGGGUUUGGUCUGGG
Molecule: unclassified non-coding RNA, 438 nt
Filed under: Hevea brasiliensis (rubber tree)
Lineage: Eukaryota; Viridiplantae; Streptophyta; Magnoliopsida; Malpighiales; Euphorbiaceae
Source: RNAcentral